AUCGCCUGAAGAUGGACUCGCGUCCCAUUAGCUUGUUGGUAAGGUAACGGCUUACCGAGGCUUAGACGGGUAGGUGGUCUGAGAGGAUGGUUACCCACACUGGAACUGAGAUACUGUCCAGACUCCUACGGGAGGCUGCAGUCGAGAAUCUUCCGCAAUGGACGAAAGUCUGACGGAGCAAUGCCGCGUGGGGGAUGAAGGCCUUCGGGUCGUAAACCCCUGUCAGAAGGGACGAAAUUUGACGGUACCUUCAGAGGAAGCCACGGCUAACUACGUGCCAGCAGCCGCGGUAAUACGUAGGUGGCGAGCGUUAUUCGGAUUUACUGGGCGUAAAGGGUCCGCAGGGGGUUUGCCAAGUCUGAUGUGAAAGCCCACGGCUCAACCGUGGAACGGCAUUGGAUACUGGCGAACUCGAGGACGUUAGAGGAGAGCAGAAUUCCUGGUGUAGCGGUGGAAUGCGUGGAUAUCAGGAGGAAUACCAAUGGCGAAGGCAGCUCUCUGGGACGUUCCUGACCCUCAUGGACGAAAGCGUGGGUAGCGAACAGGAUUAGAUACCCUGGUAGUCCACGCUGUAAACGGUGCGCACUCGAUGUAGGCGGUCUUUGGUCCCGUCUGUGUCUUAGCUAACGCGUUAAGUGCGCCGCCUGGGGACUACGGUCGCAAGACUAAAACUCAAAGGAAUUGACGGGGGCCCGCACAAGCGGUGGAGCAUGUGGCUUAAUUCGAGGCAACGCGAAGAACCUUACCCGGAUUUGACAUAUAUUGGCCCGCCCCAGAGACGGGGUUUUCCCUUCGGGGACUGAUAUACAGGUGCUGCAUGGCUGUCGUCAGCUCGUGCCGUGAGUGUUCGGUUAAGUCCGGCAACGAGCGCAACCCAUGUCACUAGUUGCCAUCAGGUAAUGCUGGGGACUCUAGUGAGACUGCCCGUGUCAAGCGGGAGGAAGGCGUGGACGACGUCAAGUCCGUAUGGCCCUUACAUCCGGGGCUGCACACGUGCUACAAUGGCCGGUACAAUGGGCAGCGAUCCUGCGAAGGUUAGCAAAUCCCCAAAGCCGGUCCCAGUUCGGAUUGGAGUCUGCAACUCGACUCCAUGAAGCCGGAAUCGCUAGUAAAGGCGUAUCAGCUACGACGCCUUGAAUACGUUCCCGGGCCUUGUACACACCGCCCGUCACAUCAUGGAAGCCUGUUGCACCCGAAGUCGUUGACCCGACCCGCAAGGGAGGGAGACGCCGAAGGUGUGCCCGGUAACUGGGAUGAAGUCG
This 1262-nucleotide ribosomal RNA is filed under the name metagenome. RNAcentral's name for it is "bacterial SSU rRNA". It matches the Rfam family "Bacterial small subunit ribosomal RNA", at positions 214 to 1488 of the family's 1533-position model. The record is from RNAcentral.